AGUAUGACUGAGAUAGGUCCCUCCCUUUUGAUCUUUUUCUUUUAGUGUGUGGUAUGUUUUAGGAGUUUGGUUCUUCAUACCAUAUCUCUAACAUGCAUUAACACCUAAAUUUUUAUUGUCCAGCCUCAGAUAGUUGUGACUUCUACAUAAGUCCACUUACGAUUGCUUAACAUAGAGCUAAAUUUGACCCUUAAGGCAUAUCAUUCUAGUAAGUGAGAUUGUAAGUCUCCCAUUCUUCAUGGCAUUAUAUGGAGACUUAAGCUUUUUU
Molecule: long non-coding RNA, 268 nt
Filed under: Lathyrus oleraceus (garden pea)
Lineage: Eukaryota; Viridiplantae; Streptophyta; Magnoliopsida; Fabales; Fabaceae
Description: Pisum sativum (pea) long non-coding RNA (PSAT_LNC006788)
Source: RNAcentral